UACGUAGGGUGCGAGCGUUAAUCGGAAUUACUGGGCGUAAAGCGUGCGCAGGCGGUUUUGUAAGCCAGAUGUGAGAGCCCCGGGCUUAACCUGGGAAUGGCAUUUGGGACUGCAAGGCUAGAGUGCGGCAGAGGAGACUGGAAUUCCUGGUGUAGCAGUGAAAUGCGUAGAUAUCAGGAGGAAUACCGAUGGCGAAGGCAGGUCUCUGGGCUGACACUGACGCUCAUGCACGAAAGCGUGGGGAGCAAACAGG
This 253-nucleotide ribosomal RNA is filed under the name uncultured bacterium. Its description in RNAcentral is "partial 16S ribosomal RNA". It matches the Rfam family "Bacterial small subunit ribosomal RNA", at positions 524 to 776 of the family's 1533-position model. The record is from RNAcentral.